This 253-nucleotide ribosomal RNA is filed under the name uncultured bacterium. RNAcentral's name for it is "partial 16S ribosomal RNA". It matches the Rfam family "Bacterial small subunit ribosomal RNA", at positions 524 to 776 of the family's 1533-position model. The record is from RNAcentral.
UACGUAGGGUGCGAGCGUUGUUCGGAAUCACUGGGCGUAAAGGGAGCGUAGGCGGAACUGUAAGUUAGAAGUUUAAUACAUGGGCUCAACCCGUGGUCUGCUUUUAAUACUGCGGUUCUUGAGUAUGGGAGAGGGCGAUGGAAUUCCAGGUGUAGCGGUGGAAUGCGUAGAUAUCUGGAAGAACACCAGUAGCGAAGGCGGUCGCCUGGCCCAAUACUGACGCUGAGGCUCGAAAGCUGGGGGAGCAAACAGG